Long non-coding RNA from Harmonia axyridis, 1407 nucleotides. RefSeq lists it as uncharacterized. The transcript is spliced from 2 exons. The record is from RefSeq and is a predicted model, not a curated record. NCBI's taxonomy places the organism in Eukaryota, Metazoa, Arthropoda, Insecta, Coleoptera, Coccinellidae.
CUGCGACAAGGUCGAUAGAAACGAGGAUCUUUCGUUAAGGUGACGCGAUUCGCUCGAUUAGAAAAAGCUGCAGCUGGUUAAUAUUUCGUUUUUGCUGGGACCACUGAACCGUGGAUGGGAAUGAAUUGAGGUGUUCUUUGAGUCGCAUUGGUUGACAUUUUUAAUGUCAACGAUAUCCAUAGAGACGCUGUGUCUCAUAAAGGUACUAUCCUCCCAACUGCAACUACCCCUGUCUGACUCUGAUUGGUUCUCCUAACUUUGGAGAACGUUCCGUUAAAAGGGACUUGGAAACCCAACUAGCAAUUAUAACAGAAAACAAGAAACUUCAAACGGAAUUGCAUGAGGAGUGUGUGGAUCUGUACAAGUUCGGCUUGCCAAUGGAGAAGAAAAGGAGAGGCCCUAAAUGGGUGCACGGUUUUGUAUACUUUUUCCGUAGUUAUUUUUAAAACAAUCAAACUGUUACAACAAUUUAUGAGUGAAUUUUUUGGUUUUACAUCUCGUACGACUGAAUUUUUUGGAAAUAUUGUCCUCCUUAUGGUCCCACUAUAUCCAUCUGAGCUUGUUUCUACCAGCUCCUAUGGAAUUUCUAUAUUAAUAAUUCUGUAAUAAGAGGUCCUUAAUGUUGGACAUAAUUGUGAUAUUUCUAGUGAUGCUCUCAAUUGUUUGUUAGUCAUAAUUUCUUUGCAUUUAAUUGUUGAAAUGUCUUGUUAUUUUUGAAAAUAUUUCAGUAUUAUUAUUAGGCAUUUGAAUAUUUUGAAUAUUGAACUGCCUUUUCUUCAUCUGAUUCCGAACUGGUCCAGAUACUUGCUCAAUAAACUUAUUAACAUAAUAAUAAAAUGAUUUUCCAUCGUAUUGACCCUUUACUUGACCGAGAGAUGGCGUCGUGGGCUUGGUAUAUAAACCGAACCGAGAUGAUGAAGGCAGAGACCAUUGUUUUUAAUGAACUAAACUAAAACAAAAGCAUUUUUUGUGAUUAUUAAAACACAAGUAAUGAUUAUAUAUAAUGGAAAAUCUGUAUUUUUGACAGUUUGUUGAUUUUCAUUAAUUAUGUAGCAUAUUCCAACAUUAAUCUCAAUCAAUUCGUGUGAUUUCAGUUGAAACGGGAUCGUCAAAACCUCCAUGAAUAUCUUGUGUGAACGGCCCUCAAGGAAAGCUGUUGGUUGUGACUAUCGGGGUCUUCUGAUUUCAAGCCAGAUGGUAUUACCUGAAAAUCUACAGCACCCAUGUUUGUCCUGCUGUUGGAAUUUAAUUUAUUCAGUAUAUUCACUAAAUUUAACUAAAAUGUUUCUUAAAAUGAACCUGAGCAAUAUCUUUGGAAUCAAAAUUCUCUUUUUUUAUAUGUCUGAAUGUUUUUUGUAAAUAAAAUAAUGUUCCCUAUUUUUUCAUCAAUAAAAUAAUAAAUUCAUA